UCGGAAUGAAAUCAUAACUUUUCAUUUUUAUUUUCUUUUUGAUUUUUGAAGUUGUUUUUUGAAUCUUAAUUGGAGGCAACCCAAAAAUAACAUAAUCGUAACAGUCUGUAAUGUUGGAAAAAGAUUGCAAGAGCUCACAGGUUUUGCGCCUUUUUCUGUUUUGAAUAUCAACCUUUUUGCUUGUUUUGAUCUAUUUUAGCCUUAUUUGAUCUAUCU
Molecule: long non-coding RNA, 216 nt
Filed under: Panax ginseng (ginseng)
Lineage: Eukaryota; Viridiplantae; Streptophyta; Magnoliopsida; Apiales; Araliaceae
Description: long non-coding RNA (PGIN_LNC014882)
Source: RNAcentral